Molecule: ribosomal RNA, 442 nt
Filed under: uncultured bacterium
Lineage: Bacteria
Description: partial 16S ribosomal RNA
Rfam family: Bacterial small subunit ribosomal RNA
Source: RNAcentral
CCUACGGGUGGCUGCAGUGGGGAAUAUUGGGCAAUGGGCGCAAGCCUGACCCAGCAACGCCGCGUGAAGGAAGAAGGCUUUCGGGUUGUCAACUUCUUUUGUCAGGGAAGAGUAGAAGACGGUACCUGACGAAUAAGCCACAGCUAACUACGUGCCAGCAGCCGCUGUAAUACGUAGGUGGCAAGCGUUGUCCGUAUUUACUGGGUGUAAAGGGCGUGUAGCCGGGUUGACAAGUCAGAUGUGAAAUCCUGCGGCUUAACCGCAGAACUGCAUUUGAAACUGUUGAUCUUGAGUACUGGAGAGGCAGAUGGAAUUCCUAGUGUAGCGGUGAAAUGCGUAGAUAUUAGGAGGAACACCAGUGGCGAAGGCGGUCUGCUGGACAGCAACUGACGGUGAGGCGCGAAAGUGUGGGGAGCAAACAGGAUUAGAUACCCCUGUAGUC